This 468-nucleotide ribosomal RNA is filed under the name uncultured bacterium. RNAcentral describes it as "partial 16S ribosomal RNA". It matches the Rfam family "Bacterial small subunit ribosomal RNA", at positions 28 to 507 of the family's 1533-position model. The record is from RNAcentral.
GACGAACGCUGGCGGCGUGCUUAACACAUGCAAGUCGAACGGAAAGGUCCUGCUUUUGCUGGGUUCUCGAGUGGCGAACGGGUGAGUAACACGUGAGUAACCCGCCCUUGUCUUUCGGAUAACUUCAGGAGACUCGGGCUCAUACCGGAUAGGAGAUCCUGCUCCAUGGUGGGGGUUGGAAAGUUUCGGCGGUUGGGGAUGGACUCGCGGCUUAUCAGCUUGUUGGUGGGGUAGUGGCUUACCAAGGCUUUGACGGGUAGCCGGCCUGAGAGGGUGGCCGGCCACAUUGGGACUGAGAUACGGCCCAGACGCCUACGGGAGGCAGCAGUGGGGAAUAUUGCACAGUGGGCGGAAGCCUGAUGCAGCAACGCCGCGUGCGGGAUGACGGCCUUCGGGUUGUAAACCGCUUUCGCCUGUGACGAAGCGUGAGUGACGGUAAUGGGUAAAGAAGCACCGGCUAACUACGUG